AACGAACGCUGGCGGCAGGCCUAACACAUGCAAGUCGAGCGCCCUUUCGGUGGGGCGUCGGUCGGGCGAGUAACGCGUGGGAAUAUGCUCUUCUCUACGUAAUAGUCUCGUUUUACUUAGAGUAUUACGGUAUACGCCCUAUGCUGGUACGACUUACCGGGUAAGGAUUAGCGCGCGUUGUAUUCGGUCGUUGCUAGAUUAAUUGCGUACCAAUCCGACGAUCCAUAGCUGGUUUGAGAGGAUGAUCAGCCACACUGGGACUGAGACACGGCCCAGAAUCCUACGGGAGGGAGCAGUGGGGAAUCUUAGACAAUGGGGGCAACGCAGAAGUAGCCAGGCCGCGUGAGUGAUGAAGGUCUUAAGGAAGAAAAGCACUUUCAGAUGGGAAGAUAAUGACGGUACCAAAAGAAGAAGCCCCGGCUAACUCCGUG
This 431-nucleotide ribosomal RNA is filed under the name uncultured bacterium. RNAcentral's name for it is "partial 16S ribosomal RNA". It matches the Rfam family "Bacterial small subunit ribosomal RNA", at positions 29 to 507 of the family's 1533-position model. The record is from RNAcentral.